RNAcentral lists this ribosomal RNA (253 nucleotides) under uncultured bacterium. RNAcentral's name for it is "partial 16S ribosomal RNA". It matches the Rfam family "Bacterial small subunit ribosomal RNA", at positions 524 to 776 of the family's 1533-position model. The record is from RNAcentral.
UACGGAGGGUGCGAGCGUUGUCCGGAAUCACUGGGCGUAAAGGGCGCGUAGGCGGCCUGAUAAGUAGGGGGUGAAAUCCUGCGGCUUAACCGCAGGGCUGCCUUCUAAACUGUCAGGCUUGAGCACAGUAGAGGCAGGUGGAAUUCCCGGUGUAGCGGUGGAAUGCGUAGAGAUCGGGAAGAACAUCAGUGGCGAGGGCGGCCUGCUGGGCUGUUGCUGACGCUGAGGCGCGACAGCGUGGGGAGCAAACAGG